UAGCCGAAUAAGAUAAUUAUCAUAUUACAAGUCUUUUGUACUACAAAAAUAUAACAUUUUCAAAUAACCCACUAUUUUAUUCUAAAAUACCACGACUCGUUAGUAAUUAGUGUGAUUAUAAACCGAAAUCUAACCCACUUGCCUCAGUAUAACAAUUGAGAAUGAUUAGGGGCUCUGUCUUUUUUGAAAUUUUUUCUGCCUUCUCUCUUCCUUUAACUUUUUAUCUUAGUCUCUUUACUGCCGCGUGACACCUUCUGGUGACCGGUGACAGCACCUUUGGUCUCUGCAUUUUCCUUCCUUUCUGUUAUUAGCUUCCCCUAAGUGAUUUUUCACAUAUGUUUUCCUUGUUGUGGGCAUUUUCUCCCCUUGUGGGCAUGUUCUUCUCCUUCUAUGGAGCCUUGUUUUGCAGAUCUGAAUCUCAGAUUCUGCCUCGUUCUUCUUGAAUAUAAAGGGAGCUGUUUUCAGUUGCUAUUUUCAUCAAUCUUUCAUCUACCUUCUUAUUUCGCCCAUUGCGUUGGUAAUCCGGAGAUGUCGUUCUCACAUGAACUUGGAUGCCGAUGGUUGAGUUUGCGGCAGAGACAACAUCAAUCGGAGGAAAGCUAUCUAUUUCUUGUUUUGGUAGUACCGACGAUUAAGUCGGCGGCAUUCUCUGGCGAGUUCCUUGGUCGUCGGCGGCUGUGGAAAAUCGUAGGGAUUGACAGCUGCAAUCUUUUGUUGUUAGGAGAUUAGGUUUUGUAUUAUUUCUAUGGGCUAGGGUUUGUACUUAGGCUGUAAUAUUAUCUAUCUGCUUGUGUCUUUCUUUAGGCUUUGUCCUACCUUUGUAUUCAUUCCUCCCGUAAUAUAUAUUGCCGAUUUGUAAAAAAAAAAACAGAGAAAAAGGAAGGAGUUUUGGUAGUGUACUGGGUAGAUGAAGAAGCUGGCACACUGAUUAAAUAUCUUCCAGUUCAAGAAGAACAUCCCAAUACGUGAUGGAAGCAAUUGUCACAUUCCAAAACACUUUCAUCUGAUCAUUAAUGUCUUUAUAUACAUUACACAUUCCAAUCAUAUGUUUUACUGUUUCCUUUCGCAAUAAUUAUGGACGUGUUGGGACUGAAUUUGUAAUUUUCAGGUUAAUUUCCUCUUACAUGGGAACAAGAUACAUGCGUGUAUUGUGGUCUGAUUACCA
This 1165-nucleotide long non-coding RNA is filed under the name Linum usitatissimum (flax). Its description in RNAcentral is "long non-coding RNA (LUSI_LNC006227)". Lineage: Eukaryota; Viridiplantae; Streptophyta; Magnoliopsida; Malpighiales; Linaceae. The record is from RNAcentral.